RNAcentral lists this transfer RNA (81 nucleotides) under Vallitaleaceae bacterium. RNAcentral's name for it is "tRNA-Leu". It matches the Rfam family "tRNA". Rfam says of the family: Transfer RNA (tRNA) molecules are approximately 80 nucleotides in length. Their secondary structure includes four short double-helical elements and three loops (D, anti-codon, and T loops). The record is from RNAcentral. Lineage: Bacteria; Bacillati; Bacillota; Clostridia; Lachnospirales; Vallitaleaceae.
GCGGGUGUGGCGGAAUUGGCAGACGCACUAGACUUAGGAUCUAGCGCCUUCGGUGUGCAGGUUCGACUCCUGUCACCCGCA